CAAAAUCCAUGUGGUUUGUAUUAGUGUGGGUGUUCAUUAGCUAAAGGUGAGCAGCCUUAGGCAGGAAAAGCAAACCCACAGAAUCUGGAACUUUGGGGUUUUUUUUUGGAAGCAGAUUGACUUCAAGCAGCACUGAAGUGGCUCACACCUGAUGAAUUCACACUUUGCUCUCCACCCCGUUGGAAAUUUGUGGUUUUCCCAGUUGAUGGUUGGAGGGGGAGGAUUUGCUUGACCCUGCUGGAGCUGGGGGUUGGACUCUGUGAUCUCCUGAGCUCCCCCUUUUCUCUCAGUGCUUUCCCUUCCUCCAGCCAUGGAUUCAGGGUUUCAGCUCCUUCAGGCUGCUCUCACUGAGGGCUGGGAUGCAGAAAUCUGGGAUUUGCUCCCUGUUUCCCUUCCCAUGCCUGCCUGGUCCCUGGGCAGGUGGGAGCCUGGCCUGGCACGGUGCAAAUCCUUCAUUUCUGGGAUGUGGACAGAGGGAAGAGGGCAAGCUGGCAGGGCUUGCAGCAGGAUUUGGUGUCAGCACUUCCUUGGGGCUGGAAUUGGGGUUUGUGGGCAGCUGAGGCUGUUCCAGAAGAGGGAUGAGUGGAAUUUCAGGGUGAUCUUAACCACAGUUUUCUCUUAAAUUUUUCUUCAUUUGGGCAAAAUUACUCCACAACGCUCUGCACUGCCUUAAAUUUGGCCCAGUCCAGAACCAUUCCCUUGCCAGGUGCACCCUGGCUGUGCUGGGCCCCUCCAGCUCAAACUGGGAUUAUUCUGGAUCCUGCUUUUGAAACACACACAUGCACACACACACGGAUAUUUUUCUGUGCUGCAUUUUCUGUGAUGAAAUUUUUUAUUGCUUCUGCCUGCCCUGGGGUGGCAGCUGUGCCAGGGCAAUGUGCAGACAGCACGUUCUGCAUCCCAGAAAUUGCCUGCCUUCCUUGGCACCACUUCCACUUCCCUGUGCUCCACAGGCUUGGGAAGCAGCAGCCUCAGCUGGGAGCUAAACUUGUGACACACUUUGGGUUUUGGCAGAGAGGAGUCAGGAAAGGCUUUGUGCACCUCAGCCUGGCCAAUGUCAGGCUUUUCCUAUUUUUUUCUUUUAUUGCUACCCAUAACCAGAGUGGAAUUUUACCCCUGGGGAUGUGCUGGAGGCUCUAAAUGUGGACUAGAGAGAUUUUUGCCAGGUGUAAAAGAAUCUCCCAAGUCUUUUGCCUGUGAAGGUGGGAGAGGAACCUGAGGGCUUUUAUUGGCAGCUGUGGGUCAAGUAUCUGCUCUUGUACAGGGCUGAGAGGAUUCUAAAUAAUUGCUGGGGGUUUUUUUAUUAAUUUGAUAUUUUCAGUUUUCUGACUGCCCCAGACCAGGACAGGGAUGAGCAACACACGCUGAGCUCCAAAAUUUUUGGGGUGGACAAAAGGCAGGUGAGAUUUGGAGAAAUGUGCAGAGCAGGCACCUUGGACUCUGCAGGCAUCAUCCCAGUCCCCAUCUGGGUGCACUGGUGUCCCUUAUCCCGUGGGGAAAGUGGGACAGGACUCACCUUCCUGGAGCUUGGCUGAGCCCAGGCAGCUCUGGAGCUCUUCCAGCCUCAACAGCUGCAGUGUUAAAUCUCAAUCCCCUCUAUCAUCUGCUGGUUUUUUAAUACUCUCCAAAAUCAUCUGCAUUUUCCCUUUUGUGUGGUUCCUGGAUUUCCUGACACAAAGCCCUGGCUCGGGGGUGCAGCAGCCAGGAGGGAGGGAGGACUGGAAACACCCACACAAAACCUGAUGGGAUGCAGCUCUUCCUCCCUGCAGGUUUGCUGUUCAUCACCCAGAAAACCUCCCAAAAGCUGCUGCUACCACGCUGGAUGAGGGGGCUGGGGGAUGGAAAUGGGUUAAUCCAGGCCAAUUUAAACAUUGUCCCUUUCCCUCCUCAGCAUCCUGCUCCAGGCAUGGGCUCAGCAGGAAGUUGUCUCUUAUCCCCAUGGGCUGCUCCAAGAGGGACAGGACCCCCUGUCCUGUGUCACCACCUCAGGAUCUGAGUGGGAUUCAUGGAAAAGCAGCUGGUGGGAAGAGAUCCCCAAAAUCCCAAGGUGUGUGCAGAGAUCCUCCUGAGCUGCUGGAAAUCAGGCUGAGCCCUUCUCCAGCAUCUGUGGGGUCAGUGGAUGUGGUGGGAAGGGCAGGAUCUGCCUGGAAUCACCUGGUGGAGCCUCCAGCAGUGAAAUCCAGCAGUGCUGUGAGUUUGGGUCAGAUUUUGGGGGGGAGGUUGGGAUGCUCUUCAGGAGCAUGGGAGGAGGUGGGAUCCAUGGCAGUGGAAGCCCAGGUGGGGCUGAGUUUUGGGAGCAGUGAGGGUUCAGCAGCGUUACCCUGUGGGGUAUCCCUGGAGCAGACGCCGCUGUGGGGCCUUGCAGGAGGAACAGGGAGGUGAGGAAAGGGAUGGGAAUGGAUUUUAGUGGAUUUAGGGAUUAGAUCAGCUGGGCUGACCCCAAUGAGCAUCUCAGGGCCUGCCCUGCAGACUCAUCCCUUGGCUCCCAGCCUUCCCAGCAGGUUUUGGCUCUAUCCCUGAUGUUGUUUGGAGCCUCACGGGAUCCGGGUGCCGUUGGUGAACUCGGUACUGGCCACAGCUGGCAGGAGAAAAUUCCUCCUGGAACUUUCUGCCAGCCUUCAAAUCCCCCAAAGAAGUGUUAAGUGCAGUUAUUUCCAGCUCCAGGGCACAGACAUUUAUUCCUCCCGAUGCCACUGCCAAUCCUGCCAAAAGCAGGAAAUCCCAACAUCUCCAGGCAUCCCAUUCCUCCUGCUACUCUUAUUUUUUUUAGUUUAAUAAUAUUUUAUCUGUCUCUUUUUAUGACUUUUCUGCCUUUUGUCCCAUUUGAAGCCACAAUAGAUGAUUUACAGCAACCCCCUCAUGAAAUCAGCCUUCAGCCCCCUUUUUUCUCCUUGCAAAUCAGCAAAUGGGUGUGAGGAGUUUUGGAGGGGAUCAUCCCUGCCCCAGCCAGAUGCUCUCCCAUCCAGCAAACGAAGAGCACAGCCUGUUUCCUGUUAAAUCUUGCUGCUUGCAUUGGUUUACAUUGUUUGUCUGAUGUUUUACAGCUUCCAAGCUGAUGUUGCAUUAAAGCUGGCUGGAGUUGAGGCAAAAAAUGAGAUGCAGGCACUGGCAGGGUUCCCCAAAUGCAUUCAUGAGGGUUGAUCCCACAGUCACAUUUCCUCAGCCCCUGCAGGAGCUGUGUCCUGGCCGAGGCUCCAAAAUAUGCUUUUGGGACAAUUUUGGAGUUUUGGGACAAUUUUGGAGUUUUAAUUGCGGGGCAGGUGGUGGAGGGAUUGUGCCUUCUCCUCCCCCAGCCAGGUUUGGUGGCUCUGGGUGGCUCCUGAGUUUCUCUUGACCCCUCAGCUUUAUUUACACUUUCUGUUCCUUGCUGUCCUGUUGAGGAGGGGAGUGAGGGAGGCUGGGUGGGCACCACCAUAAGCUGGGGCAGAAUUUUUUUAUUAUUUUUAUAAAGAAGAACAACGAUGGGGAUGGGAUUUUAUUUCUGCCUUGUCUCAUCUUUAACUGUGGGAAUUUGAACUCCCCUCCUAAGAACCUCACAGAAAAGGGCUGCACCAUCCCAUCAGCAGCAUUAAUGAAAUUCCUUCAGAGUUUUGAUCCUGUGUCAUUGGCAAUGGGGUUUUUUAUUUUAUUUUUUCAGGGUUUGUGAGCUGCUUUCACUUUCUUGUGCCAUUUCCAGGUGCAGAUGAGAUCAUUCCUUUUGAUCUCUUUAUUAAUGAGCUGGUGGAUAUUUAUCUCAUUAGGAGGCAGUGUGCUAAAACUUUACAAACUCAGGCCUUAAUCUUGCCAACAACUGGGAAUUUUCAGCCAUUUAAACCAUGGGACAAGAAAUAAGAAACAAAAACUAAGAAAUAAGAAAUCCCUCUUCUCUUAAGGGUCGACUGAGAGCAUCACACAUCACCCAAAGCCUUCAGCAGAGACUUUAUAAAAACUCCAGCUUAGCCAGUCUCUGUAAUACUGAUUUGGGUUUUUUUAGGGUUUUUUUUAAUUUCAGGAAAACCUAAAGAAGGGGAAGGAAUUAGGCAAUGGGUUAUUCUGGGAUGUCCCCGUGCCGGAGAUGAGCUCUCCUCCCGCACACGUCCUCGUGCCACAUCAGCAGCUGUCUGCAAGCCAAGGACUGGGGAGAUGCCUAUGGCUGGAAAAACAGCUCCUUCUGUAUUUAUUGGACUUCCUAGCAGCUGGAAAAUCCCAAAGAUCUGCACCUCCAGGGGCUCCUGCAGCUGGGGGGAAAAGUCUUCCUGUGAAAUAAAUCCGUGUGAUGCCUAAAAUGCCUGUGAUGAGGGCAGCAUGGAGAUGUUCCUGCCCCCAGAAUUAUUUCUCCAGAUAUGUGGCAAGGUCAGUUCAUGGCUGUCCCAUCUCGGAGCCAGAGGGAUCAGGCAGAGAUGGGGAAUAUGGAGCUGUUUAUCAAAAAAUGCUGCUUUUUAGAGUUGGAGCAAAAAUCACCUUGAUCCUCUCUGAGCCAUGAGCAUGUGAAGGUCAGGUUGUAAAAAUGAAAUUUGUGUUCUGACUUGGAUAACUGCAGUUCAAAUCCUCCUGAAAUGGUGCUUGCAGCAGGAAAACCUUGCUUGGUGCUGGAGCAGGAUGAGUCCAAACCCUGCAGGAGCCAGGGAUCCCUGCCAGGCAAUCCAGGAGAAAGCUGGAGGUGGAGAUGCAGGCAGGUGAUGCAAACCUGCAGUUUUGGGGGAUCCCUGUGCUGGCAAACACUGGGAAUGGCAUUUCUGCUCCCACAGGGACUCCCAUGGCUUGGUUUGGGUGGCUUUGAGCAAACCUUGCCCUGCCAAGGGCAGGCUCUGCACGGGCACUGCCAUCGCUGCACAAGGGCCAGAAAAAUCUCAGUAGCAAGGAAAAGCAAUAAAAAUGAGUGUUCCUCUGGGAAAAGCUGAGCCAGACGUGAACAUCCUUCCAAGUUAACCACUGCCCUGGCUGGGUGUGUGGCUGACAGGUUUGCUCUGCUCCUAAAAUCAUCUGUGUGAGGAUCAAGGCAGGAUCUGGGUGCAGGAACGUCUCAUUCUCCUGGGAUGCAGCAAAAUGUCAUCAGCUUCAUGUCUUGUGGCGCCUGUUUUCCCUAAACUCAGAGGCUUGUGGACACAGUUCUUGGAUUUUCUCCUCCCCUGGGAAUUUUAAGUCUUCCCUGAAUGUCCAGGUUGGGUUUUUUUGGCUCAGCCUGCCCUUGCAGACCCUGCUGGGGUUUACCUGUGGUGCUGGGUGCCAGCUGCAGCCAGCAGUGGGUUAUUCCCAUUCCCUGUCCCUGUUCUGGUGUCUGGGAUCACCCUCACCCCAAGGGUGUCUCAGAGCUGGCAUGUGGACAGGGAUCCUGCCCUGGGAUCCUGCAAGGCACCACUGAGGGUUUCAGGGCUGUGCUGAUGGAAUCAUUUGCAGUUCCCUUUGGCAGGAAGGUGCCAAUCCCAUUAUUUUUCCCGUGGUUUUGUUCCCAUCCAUAAAUUCUCAGAUACCAGGAUGGACCCAGCACAUCCCUGCCACAGAGCCAAGGAAGCUCUGAGGGCUGCAGGGACAGGGAAGGGCACAGGCACAUGGGGCUUGGGAAUUUGGAACUUUACCCAAAGGCCAAAUGAAUUUCCAGAGGACAAGCUGAAAUCCAACCCUGCUCCUUUGUGUGUGCUUUAUCAUAUCCUGCAAAUCCCUCCCUUCAGUUCCUUCUGUGAAGGCUCCAAACUUCUACAACGGAGCUAACAGAGAUUUUUUUGAGCCCCUCACCCCUCCCUGCCUUUCCAAACUCCCUUUAGUGACUUCAGACAUGAAAACCACAAGCACUGAACCUCCUCCAGCUGCUUCUCCAUGAAGGAGAGAUCAGAGAUCCUUCUCAUGUGAGACACAGAAUGGGGUUGUGCCAUUACUGCUGAGGGAUUCGAGGGGAAAAAAAAUCAUAUUUAACAGUUCUGGUAAGAACAGCUCACCCUGCUCAGGGCUCCUGGAAUGAGCUGGACAGAGCCAGGGGGAAAUUCUUUGCAUUCUUGGGAUUGGGAGGUGGAAUUAAGGUGAAAUGCUCCUGGAGGAGGGCCAGGCUAUCUGGAGUAGCAAGCUGUUAAAUAUCACUGGACUUGAAUUCAGGAAUACUUUUGGAGUGGAGUUGGUUGCAGGAAGAGCAUCGGGUUGGGAUUCCAGGGAGGGAAAAAAAGCCUCAUUUUGGGUUGUGAACGUGCCAGACUCCAGCUAGCAGAGGUCAGGGCCUGCUGCUGGGGCUGGGACACUCUGAGCUGCCCAGGCUGUGCCUGGCUCCUGCACUGCCCAGCUGGGCUCUGCCAUGUGGGCUAAAAGUCUGCUGGGUGCUGUGGCUCACAUCUGGAAAUGAGAUGCGAAAAAAAAAGCGUAAUUUAAGCUCCUAGAUAGCACCAGAACUCAGGGAUGCUCCUUCUUCCUCCUCCCACCAGCAAUCCCAGACACAGCUGGAAGUGAGUGUGGCAAUGACUGUAAGCUGUGACAGUGAUGGGGAAAACAGGGAAAAAGAGAAGAAAAGACGGAAAACGGGAAAAACAGGGGGAAAUGGGAAAACAGCCACUUCUGCUCCUCUCAGAGCCCAACAAAACCCAGAUUGUGACCCUGCAGCACCAUCCUGCUCCCCCUGAGCUGCACCUUUGCCCCAGGGCUCAUCCUUCAUCCCUGCUGAGCCAACGAGGGGAAUCAUUCCCAACUUCCUGGGACCAGUGGAAAUGUCCCAGCUGAGCCAUUCCCGCUGCCCCUGCCCUUCUCAGGGUGUUUAUGUGCAAUAUUUGUGCAAUAUUUGCUGGGUUAUUUGAUCUGUGGCUGCCGGGUGAGCACUGAUUAAAGCAGAGCCCAGCGUGGGGCACCCUCUGCAUCCUGGAUUUCCAUCUGCUCCAUCCAGCAGCGCUGUUUUCCCCUUUUCCCUCAGAGAACAGCGUUUCCCCCACCCCCGAGGCACCGUUUGAUUGGAAGGCUUUAAAAGGGACAAUCAGUGUGAGUCACACUGAAAGCCAUAAAAGAAAAACCAAUAAAGCCAUCUGAAAAGUGC
This is a non-coding RNA of Taeniopygia guttata (zebra finch), 6985 nucleotides long. The record is from RefSeq and is a predicted model, not a curated record. NCBI's taxonomy places the organism in Eukaryota, Metazoa, Chordata, Aves, Passeriformes, Estrildidae.